This 449-nucleotide ribosomal RNA is filed under the name uncultured bacterium. Its description in RNAcentral is "bacterial SSU rRNA". It matches the Rfam family "Bacterial small subunit ribosomal RNA", at positions 329 to 793 of the family's 1533-position model. The record is from RNAcentral.
GACCAGACUCCUACGGGAGGCAGCAGUGGGGGAUAUUGCACAAUGGGGGGAACCCUGAUGCAGCGACGCCGCGUGGGCGAUGGAGUGCUUCGGCAUGUAAAGCCCUAUCAGCAGGGAAGAAAAUGACGGUACCUGACUAAGAAGCCCCGGCUAAAUACGUGCCAGCAGCCGCGGUAAUACGUAUGGGGCAAGCGUUAUCCGGAUUUACUGGGUGUAAAGGGAGCGUAGACGGCGAGGUAAGCCUGAAGUGGAAGCCCGCGGCCCAACCGCGGAACUGCUUUGGGAACUGUUUUGCUGGAGUAUGGGAGGGGUAAGCGGAAUUCCUGGUGUAGCGGUGAAAUGCGUAGAUAUCAGGAGGAACACCGGUGGCGAAGGCGGCUUACUGGACCAUAACUGACGUUGAGGCUCGAAAGCGUGGGGAGCGAACAGGAUUAGAUACCCUUGUAUAG